GGAAGGAUCAUUAAUGAGUUGUGAUGGGGUUUGAUGCUGGCAGCCAAUUUUUGGAUGCAUGUGCUUGCCCUAACAAUCAUCUUCCAAACACCUGUGCACAUUUUUGAGGGAGUUUCGAGUUUUAUUGCCGUUUUUGGUGAUUUUCUUGCAUUCCCUUAAAUUAUUAUACGCUGUUAACAAUGAUGAACGUGCUCUGUGCCGCAAGGCCAUUAAUAUAAUACAACUUUUAACAACGGAUCUCUUGGCUCUCGCAUCGAUGAAGAACGCAGCGAAAUGCGAUAAGUAAUGUGAAUUGCAGAAUUCAGUGAAUCAUCGAAUCUUUGAACGCACCUUGCGCUCCCUGGUAUUCCGGGGAGCACGCCUGUUCGAGUGUCGCGAAAUUUCUCAAGCUUGGAUGGCUUUUUUGUCUGUCCUUAGCCUUGGUUGUUGGGCUUUGCCGUGUCCUUUGUUGGGACGGCUGGCCUUAAAAGCAUUAGCUGAUCCUCGUGUGGCACUGGUUCUACUCAGCGUGAUAACAGUCUGAUCGCUGAGGACAUCUUUUGGGAUGGCCAGUUCUCAUUUGGGUUGCUUCCAAACUUGGUUUUGCAGAUUCUUCAAUCUGUGG
RNAcentral lists this unclassified non-coding RNA (604 nucleotides) under uncultured Clavulina. RNAcentral's name for it is "sequence contains ITS1, 5.8S rRNA gene, ITS2". The stretch from base 222 to 375 matches the Rfam family "5.8S ribosomal RNA". Lineage: Eukaryota; Fungi; Basidiomycota; Agaricomycetes; Cantharellales; Hydnaceae. The record is from RNAcentral.